GGUGCAUGCACUCUGAGACAGAUAAAUCCUCCAACAACUACCCUAAGAGAAGCUUUUGAUUGGACCUCUGUGUCUCUCCUAUAAUGGCAGUGAGCUGAGCACUUUGCCCAGCGCUGGGGAAUAAUGCAAAUAGGGCAUUCUAUUCAAUGACAAAAGUGAAAAACCAAAGAAAAAAGUUUAGUAAAGUGAUUUUCUCAAAGAAUAAUUAACCCUUAAUAGGGAACACAUG
Non-coding RNA from Pelobates cultripes (western spadefoot toad), 229 nucleotides. Lineage: Eukaryota; Metazoa; Chordata; Amphibia; Anura; Pelobatidae. The record is from the annotation of a GenBank genome assembly.